RNAcentral lists this ribosomal RNA (253 nucleotides) under uncultured bacterium. RNAcentral describes it as "partial 16S ribosomal RNA". It matches the Rfam family "Bacterial small subunit ribosomal RNA", at positions 524 to 776 of the family's 1533-position model. The record is from RNAcentral.
UACGUAGGGGGCAAGCGUUGUCCGGAAUUAUUGGGCGUAAAGAGCGCGUCGGCGGUCUGUCGCGUCGGCUGUGAAAACCCGGGGCUCAACCCCGGGCCUGCAGUCGAUACGGGCAGACUAGAGUGCGGUAGGGGAGACUGGAAUUCCUGGUGUAGCGGUGAAAUGCGCAGAUAUCAGGAGGAACACCGGUGGCGAAGGCGGGUCUCUGGGCCGUAACUGACGCUGAGGAGCGAAAGCGUGGGGAGCGAACAGG